Molecule: long non-coding RNA, 326 nt
Organism: Drosophila kikkawai
Lineage: Eukaryota; Metazoa; Arthropoda; Insecta; Diptera; Drosophilidae
Source: RefSeq, a predicted model, not a curated record
UAAGUCAAAGAAAAACAUUACCGGAGAUAGAUAAGUGUGUAAGUGUGGCUCGCAUCUGAAAUUUUACAUCUGAAUAGAGGAUGGACGUAAGGACAUAUAUUUUUAUACUCAUUCUCUGGGCCUUUUUCUUCGCACCUAUUCAAGCCAAACGCAUCUUUUGCAGAGGAAGGUUUGAAUUUGGAGAAUGUAUCGAUACUUCGCAUCCUUGCUCUCUUCACCGGUACAGAAACAUACAGUGUCCACCGAAAACCACAUGCUGCGCACAGUAGGAAAUAUAUGAGUCAUCUUCAAUUAUAUCAAUGAGCCAUUAAAAGUUUCAGAACGUA